GACUGUGGUCUGCAACCCGACCACACGAAGCUGGAAUCGCUAGUAAUCGCGGAUCAGAAUGCCGCGGUAAAUACGUUCCCGGGUCUUGUACACACCGCCCGUCACACCAUGGGAGUCAGCAACGCCCGAAGUCAGUGACCCAACCUUUAAGGAGGGAGCUGCCGAAGGCGGGGCAGGUGACUGGGGUGAAGUCGUAACAAGGUACC
This 206-nucleotide ribosomal RNA is filed under the name uncultured bacterium. RNAcentral describes it as "partial 16S ribosomal RNA". It matches the Rfam family "Bacterial small subunit ribosomal RNA", at positions 1296 to 1500 of the family's 1533-position model. The record is from RNAcentral.